AGACCGAUAGCGAACAAGUAGAGUGAUCGAAAGAUGAAAAGCACUUUGGAAAGAGAGUCAAACAGCACGUGAAAUUGUUGAAAGGGAAGCGCUUGCAGCCAGACUUGCUUGCAGUUGCUCAUCCGGGCUUUUGCCCGGUGCACUCUUCUGCAGGCAGGCCAGCAUCAGUUUGGGCGGUGGGAUAAAGGUCUCUGUCACGUACCUUCCUUCGGGUUGGCCUUAUAGGGGAGACGCCAUACCACCAGCCUGGACUGAGGUCCGCGCAUCUGCUAGGAUGCUGGCGUAAUGGCUGUAAGCGGCCCGUCUUGAAACACGGACCAAG
This 322-nucleotide ribosomal RNA is filed under the name Bipolaris sp. SW085. RNAcentral describes it as "LSU rRNA". It matches the Rfam family "Eukaryotic large subunit ribosomal RNA", at positions 331 to 670 of the family's 3401-position model. The record is from RNAcentral. Lineage: Eukaryota; Fungi; Ascomycota; Dothideomycetes; Pleosporales; Pleosporaceae.